RNAcentral lists this long non-coding RNA (281 nucleotides) under Pelobates cultripes (western spadefoot toad). Lineage: Eukaryota; Metazoa; Chordata; Amphibia; Anura; Pelobatidae. The record is from RNAcentral.
CUUUUGUGCAAGGCAUCAUUCACAUCAGGCAAUGCUUCUUGUGAAAAGCAAACCCAGAACUGGUGUGUGUUUUUUAUAGGGCAGGGCAGCUGUAACCAACACCUCCAAUCUCAUCUCAUUGAUUGGACUCCAGUUGGCUGACAUCUCACUCCAAUUACCUCUUGGAGAUGUCAUUAGUCUAGGGGUUCGCAUACUUUUUCCACCUGCACUGUGAAUGUUUACAGGGUGUGUUCAAUAAAAACAUGACAACGUUUCAUUCUUUGUGUGUUAUUAGUUUAAGC